This 147-nucleotide non-coding RNA is filed under the name Chlorocebus sabaeus (green monkey). Lineage: Eukaryota; Metazoa; Chordata; Mammalia; Primates; Cercopithecidae. The record is from Rfam by way of RNAcentral.
GCCAGGUGUCGUGGUGGGCGCCUGUAGUCCCAGCUACUCGGAGGCUGAGGCAGGAGACUCACUUGAACCCAGGAAGUGGAGGUUGCAGUGAGCCAAGACUGUGCCAUUGCCCUCCAGCCUAGGUGACAGAGUGAGACCCUGUCUCCA